RNAcentral lists this ribosomal RNA (253 nucleotides) under uncultured bacterium. RNAcentral's name for it is "partial 16S ribosomal RNA". It matches the Rfam family "Bacterial small subunit ribosomal RNA", at positions 524 to 776 of the family's 1533-position model. The record is from RNAcentral.
UACGGAGGGUGCAAGCGUUAUCCGGAUUCACUGGGUUUAAAGGGUGCGUAGGUGGGUUGGUAAGUCAGUGGUGAAAUCCCCGAGCUUAACUUGGGAACUGCCAUUGAUACUAUCAGUCUUGAAUACCGUGGAGGUCAGCGGAAUAUGUCAUGUAGCGGUGGAAUGCUUAGAUAUGACAUAGAACACCAAUUGCGAAGGCAGCUGGCUACACGGAUAUUGACACUGAGGCACGAAAGCGUGGGGAUCAAACAGG